RNAcentral lists this ribosomal RNA (549 nucleotides) under uncultured beta proteobacterium. RNAcentral describes it as "bacterial SSU rRNA". It matches the Rfam family "Bacterial small subunit ribosomal RNA", at positions 355 to 896 of the family's 1533-position model. Lineage: Bacteria; Pseudomonadati; Pseudomonadota; Betaproteobacteria. The record is from RNAcentral.
UGGGGAAUUUUGGACAAUGGGCGCAAGCCUGAUCCAGCAAUGCCGCGUGCAGGAUGAAGGCCUUCGGGUUGUAAACUGCUUUUGUACGGARCGAAACGGUCUGCCCUAAUACGGUGGGCUAAUGACGGUACCGUAAGAAUAAGCACCGGCUAACUACGUGCCAGCAGCCGCGGUAAUACGUAGGGUGCGAGCGUUAAUCGGAAUUACUGGGCGUAAAGCGUGCGCAGGCGGUGAUGUAAGACAGAUGUGAAAUCCCCGGGCUCAACCUGGGACCUGCAUUUGUGACUGCAUCGCUAGAGUACGGUAGAGGGGGAUGGAAUUCCGCGUGUAGCAGUGAAAUGCGUAGAUAUGCGGAGGAACACCGAUGGCGAAGGCAAUCCCCUGGACCUGUACUGACGCUCAUGCACGAAAGCGUGGGGAGCAAACAGGAUUAGAUACCCUGGUAGUCCACGCCCUAAACGAUGUCAACUGGUUGUUGGGUCUUCACUGACUCAGUAACGAAGCUAACGCGUGAAGUUGACCGCCUGGGGAAGUACGGCCGCAAGGUUG